RNAcentral lists this unclassified non-coding RNA (345 nucleotides) under soil metagenome. Its description in RNAcentral is "partial contains 5.8S ribosomal RNA, internal transcribed spacer 2, and large subunit ribosomal RNA". The stretch from base 1 to 120 matches the Rfam family "5.8S ribosomal RNA", at positions 35 to 154 of the family's 154-position model. The record is from RNAcentral.
GAUGAAGAACGUAGCGAAAUGCGAUACGUAAUGUCAAUUGCAGAAUUCAGUGAAUCAUCGAGUCUUUGAACGCACAUUGCGCCCCCUGGUAUUCCGGGGGGCAUGCCUGUCCGAGCGUCAUUGCUGCCCUCAAGCACGGCUUGUGUGUUGGGCCUCCGUCCUCCUCCCGGGGGACGGGCCCGAAAGGCAGCGGCGGCACCGCGUCCGGUCCUCGAGCGUAUGGGGCUUCGUCACCCGCUCUUGUAGGCCCGGCCGGCGCUUGCCGACACAUCAAUCUUUUUUCCAGGUUGACCUCGGAUCAGGUAGGGAUACCCGCUGAACUUAAGCAUAUCAAUAAGCGGAGGA